RNAcentral lists this ribosomal RNA (470 nucleotides) under uncultured Rhodoferax sp. RNAcentral's name for it is "bacterial SSU rRNA". It matches the Rfam family "Bacterial small subunit ribosomal RNA", at positions 911 to 1382 of the family's 1533-position model. Lineage: Bacteria; Pseudomonadati; Pseudomonadota; Betaproteobacteria; Burkholderiales; Comamonadaceae. The record is from RNAcentral.
UGACGGGACCCGCACAAGCGGUGGAUGAUGUGGUUUAAUUCGAUGCAACGCGAAAAACCUUACCCACCUUUGACAUGUACGGAACCCUUUAGAGAUAGAGGGGUGCUCGAAAGAGAGCCGUAACACAGGUGCUGCAUGGCUGUCGUCAGCUCGUGUCGUGAGAUGUUGGGUUAAGUCCCGCAACGAGCGCAACCCUUGUCAUUAGUUGCUACAUUCAGUUGGGCACUCUAAUGAGACUGCCGGUGACAAGCCGGAGGAAGGUGGGGAUGACGUCAAGUCCUCAUGGCCCUUAUAGGUGGGGCUACACACGUCAUACAAUGGCUGGUACAAAGGGUUGCCAACCCGCGAGGGGGAGCCAAUCCCAUAAAGCCAGUCGUAGUCCGGAUCGUAGUCUGCAACUCGACUACGUGAAGUCGGAAUCGCUAGUAAUCGUGGAUCAGAAUGUCACGGUGAAUACGUUCCCGGGUCUU